CUGACGCGCUUACCUGCAAGUCGAACGGGCGUAGCAAUACGUCAGUGGCAGACGGGUGAGUAACGCGUGGGAACGUACCUUUUGGUUCGGAACAACUGAGGGAAACUUCAGCUAAUACCGGAUAAGCCCUUACGGGGAAAGAUUUAUCGCCGAAAGAUCGGCCCGCGUCUGAUUAGCUAGUUGGUGAGGUAAUGGCUCACCAAGGCGACGAUCAGUAGCUGGUCUGAGAGGAUGAUCAGCCACAUUGGGACUGAGACACGGCCCAAACUCCUACGGGAGGCAGCAGUGGGGAAUAUUGGACAAUGGGGGCAACCCUGAUCCAGCCAUGCCGCGUGAGUGAUGAAGGCCCUAGGGUUGUAAAGCUCUUUUGUGCGGGAAGAUAAUGACGGUACCGCAAGAAUAAGCCCCGGCUAACUUCGUGCCAGCAGCCGCGGUAAUACGAAGGGGGCUAGCGUUGCUCGGAAUCACUGGGCGUAAAGGGUGCGUAGGCGGGUUUCUAAGUCAGAGGUGAAAGCCUGGAGCUCAACUCCAGAACUGCCUUUGAUACUGGAAGUCUUGAGUAUGGCAGAGGUGAGUGGAACUGCGAGUGUAGAGGUGAAAUUCGUAGAUAUUCGCAAGAACACCAGUGGCGAAGGCGGCUCACUGGGCCAUUACUGACGCUGAGGCACGAAAGCGUGGGGAGCAAACAGGAUUAGAUACCCCUGGUAGUCCACGCCGUAACGAUGAAUGCCAGCCGUUAGUGGGUUUACUCACUAGUGGCGCAGCUAACGCUUUAAGCAUUCCGCCUGGGGAGUACGGUCGCAGAUUAAACUCAAGGAAU
This 820-nucleotide ribosomal RNA is filed under the name uncultured Rhodopseudomonas sp. RNAcentral's name for it is "bacterial SSU rRNA". It matches the Rfam family "Bacterial small subunit ribosomal RNA", at positions 43 to 910 of the family's 1533-position model. Lineage: Bacteria; Pseudomonadati; Pseudomonadota; Alphaproteobacteria; Hyphomicrobiales; Nitrobacteraceae. The record is from RNAcentral.